RNAcentral lists this long non-coding RNA (1035 nucleotides) under Apteryx owenii (little spotted kiwi). Its description in RNAcentral is "lncRNA (ENSAOWG00000014777.1)". Lineage: Eukaryota; Metazoa; Chordata; Aves; Apterygiformes; Apterygidae. The record is from RNAcentral.
GCCACACGAGGAGCCUUAUGGAGCCACCUCACUCCUGCACGAGUUAAGCAUUCCUGCGCGUACGCAGAAGGUGGCAGUCCAAUUCAGGCAGCUGGACACGGCCCGCGCAUGUCAACAGAUAGAGCUUUGUUUCAACAGAUUCCUAGAUUUCCAAAGGAAAGUUAUUAUCGAGGUGAUGCAAAGGACUCAUCACUGUGCACAGCUCCAGCCAAGAGCCUGAAGGGCACCAAAACAGACGUGCCCCUGGAGGCUGCUACUACACAGAACAACUGGCAUCUUUGUUACAUGGCUGGAGGCACUGAGCCUGCUGCUUCAACUGCCAGAGCUACUAGAUCACUGCCAGUGGAGCUACAGCCUGUUCAGCUGUUACAGAAGGAGCUACUGGGCCUGGAUCACACAAGGAAAAAACCCUGCUGUGAGAGCUGCCAUCAGAAGAGGCAAAAGUCACAGCUGAAGUACCUGGUGAAUUUAGUGACACGGGACGAUUCCUAGCAACUGGGACGCCACAAAAAUGAGAUGGGAGAAUGCUUUCUGGAUGGUUGCCUGUUUACUGUUUGCAUCUCUACCCAGAGAUCAUCUUCAAGAUGUUGCAGAGGAAGGGAGAAGGGGACUCCAGCACAUUAUUUACACAACAGGAGCCAUGAUCUGACAGGUCAGUUGGACACAACGUGCCAUGCAUUUGUUGGAGAAACUGUCAUUUUGCCUUGUACCAUCACCUCUCCUGGAGAGCUGGAUGUUUCCGAUUCAAAGCUCUACUGGCAGAUAGAGUCUAUUUUAGUGCAUUUUUUUCACAAUGGGGAAGAUUCACUGAGGUACCAGGAUGAAAAUUAUCGUGGCAGAACCAGUCUUUUUUUGGAUGAGGUGAAGCAUGGCAACUUUUCCCUACAGCUUUCCAACAUCCGAUUAGAGGAUGCAGCUGUAUAUACUUGCAUCUAUAAACAGGCUAGGGCUCUCUCCAACAAAACACAGAAAUCUAAAAUUAAACUCGAUGUAUCAGGACACCUUAAUCUAAGCAAGAAAAAAGGAAAACUUUAA